Molecule: long non-coding RNA, 887 nt
Organism: Fukomys damarensis (Damara mole-rat)
Lineage: Eukaryota; Metazoa; Chordata; Mammalia; Rodentia; Bathyergidae
Exons: 4
Source: RefSeq, a predicted model, not a curated record
AUCGUCUGUUGUGGCUGCCUUGUUCUGAAUGGAUUCAAACCUUUGAUGGUCAUUUUGACUUUGAUGAAGGACCAGAAGUUGUACCACGCCAGAAUGGUACCUAAGAUUCCUCUUGGGGCUCACUGUUUUGGACAAAGCCAUCCCAGCAUAUGAGAACCAUUCGUGAGGCAGAAGCUACCCAGAGAAGGAUGGAUGAAGACAGGUGCAGGAUCGCACAAAGUGCAAUGUAGUGGGGACCUCUGGACAGAAGUGUGUCUCAGGCAGCAGCAAGACAAGGCCUCACCCAGCCUCUGAGCUGGUACCGCAGAGACCGAGAAGCUUAUGACUCUGAGAAUUUACUCUGUGGCUCCUUGCAGAAAAGCUUUGUCAACACUUAACAUACACACACAUCGGGUGCACAGGAAGAGAGGCAAGGAGGAGGAAGGGGCAGAAGAGGAGGAGAGAUGAUAAGGCUGGGAAGAGACACUGAGAGAUGAGGAAACACGAAUAUAUAACGUCAGGAGCCGAGAAAGGAAAUACGACUGAGGGAAGUCGACUUCAGAAGUAAAGACCCGAACACAUCUAUGGCUGAAAGCUAGGAGGUGUGAUAAAAAGAUGUGUCAUUUUGGUCCUGGGAAGCAGCCGGAAGCCACAGGAUGCCACAUCCAGGGGAUACAGGAGACAGGGACACACCAGGGGGUUGUCAGGAGCUCACCUUUCUGUGCGACGGUGCUCAGCAGCGGCACUCACUGCCACCAUAGUUUCGACCAGACCUUGUGAAGGUACUCAGGAAAGAGGGCUCCAGAACUGCUUCAAAAAAUGGCAGGAAUGAUGGCACAAACGUAUCUACAGCGAGGAGUGUUUUCAGGGGAAUCCUGGCAAUGUGUCAUUUACUGUUAUAAAUUUAA